UUCUGGCUCAGAACGAACGCUGGCGGCAGGUCUUAGGCAUGCAAGUCGAACGGAUGACAGAGAGCUUGCUCUCUGAAGUCAGUGGCGCACGAGUGAGUAACGCGUGGGAAACUGCCCUUCACUGGGGAAUAACGUUUGGAAACGAACGCUAAUACCGCAUACGCCCGCAAGGGGAAAGAUUUAUCGGUGAUGGAUGUGCCCGCGUUGGAUUAGCUAGUUGGUGGGGUAAUGGCCUACCAAGGCGAUGAUCCAUAGCUGGUCUGAGAGGACGAUCAGCCACGCUGGAACUGAGACACGGUCCAGACUCCUACGGGAGGCAGCAGCUAAGAAUAUUGGGCAAUGGAGGAAACUCUGACCCAGCCAAUGCCGCGUGAAUGAAGAAGGCCUUCGGGUUGUAAAGUUCUUUUAGUCAUGAAGAUGAUGACAGUAGUGACAGAAAAAGCACCGGCUAACUUCGUGCCAGCCGCUGC
This 470-nucleotide ribosomal RNA is filed under the name uncultured bacterium. RNAcentral describes it as "bacterial SSU rRNA". It matches the Rfam family "Bacterial small subunit ribosomal RNA", at positions 17 to 518 of the family's 1533-position model. The record is from RNAcentral.